Molecule: ribosomal RNA, 574 nt
Filed under: Rhadinomerus sp. ARC2071
Lineage: Eukaryota; Metazoa; Arthropoda; Insecta; Coleoptera; Curculionidae
Description: SSU rRNA
Rfam family: Eukaryotic small subunit ribosomal RNA
Source: RNAcentral
GUCAUAUGCUUGUCUCAAAGAUUAAGCCAUGCAUGUCUCAGUACAAGCCAAAUUAAGGUGAAACCGCGAAAGGCUCAUUAAAUCAGUUAUGGUUCCUUAGAUCGUACCCACACUUACUUGGAUAACUGUGGUAAUUCUAGAGCUAAUACAUGCAAACAGAGCUCCGACCGGAGACGGAAGGAGUGCUUUUAUUAGAUCAAAACCAAUCGGUGGCGGGUUCGCUCGUCAUCGUACAACUUGGUGACUCUGAAUAACUUUACGCUGAUCGCACGGUCAUCGCACCGGCGACGCAUCUUUCAAAUGUCUGCCUUAUCAACUGUCGAUGGUAGGUUCUGCGCCUACCAUGGUUGUAACGGGUAACGGGGAAUCAGGGUUCGAUUCCGGAGAGGGAGCCUGAGAAACGGCUACCACAUCCAAGGAAGGCAGCAGGCGCGCAAAUUACCCACUCCCGGCACGGGGAGGUAGUGACGAAAAAUAACGAUACGGGACUCAUCCGAGGCCCCGUAAUCGGAAUGAGUACACUCUAAACCCUUUAACGAGGAUCAAUUGGAGGGCAAGUCUGGUGCCAGCAGCC